AACACUAACAUGUAUUGGGGGGCAAGUAUGUUUUUAUGAUUUUGUAGUGGUUUUGCUGAGCUGUGUUUUUGGUUGGCCAUGGAGGGUACUACUAUCCGACUCUUAAGUUUUUCUUUGGCACUUCUCAGUCUUUGUGUCUGUGGCCAUAUUGGAAGUGUUGAUGGUUUUGUUAGGAGUGUACGUUAUCCUGUAUACAAUGAGGCUGGUUUCCCAGUGAAGGAUGAUGUGAAACCACGAAGUUCCUACAGC
Long non-coding RNA from Rhinichthys klamathensis goyatoka, 249 nucleotides. RefSeq lists it as uncharacterized. NCBI's taxonomy places the organism in Eukaryota, Metazoa, Chordata, Actinopteri, Cypriniformes, Leuciscidae. The transcript has 3 exons. The record is from RefSeq and is a predicted model, not a curated record.